CGAAUUAAGGCUAAAAUAGUCAUUAUUAUUUACAUUAAUAAUUUGAUUGUGAAAUUCAAUCUAAUUUGA
This 69-nucleotide transfer RNA is filed under the name Lygus rugulipennis. RNAcentral describes it as "tRNA-Val". Lineage: Eukaryota; Metazoa; Arthropoda; Insecta; Hemiptera; Miridae. RNAcentral also lists the same sequence under 1 other name. The record is from RNAcentral.